GUCGCUGGCUAUUGCCGUGUAAAGCCCCUUCGACGAGUCGAGUUGUUUGGGAAUGCAGCUCUAAAUGGGAGGUACAUUUCUUCUAAAGCUAAAUAUUGGCCAGAGACCGAUAGCGCACAAGUAGAGUGAUCGAAAGAUGAAAAGCACUUUGGAAAGAGAGUCAAACAGCACGUGAAAUUGUUGAAAGGGAAGCGCUUGCAGCCAGACUUGCUUACAGUUGCUCAUCCGGGUUUUUACCCGGUGCACUCUUCUGUAGGCAGGCCAGCAUCAGUUUGGGCGGUAGGAUAAAGGUCUCUGUCACGUACCUCCUCUCGGGGAGGCCUUAUAGGGGAGACGACAUACUACCAGCCUGGACUGAGGUCCGCGCAUCUGCUAGGAUGCUGGCGUAAUGGCUGUAAGCGGCCCGUCUUGAAACACGGACCAAGGAGUCUAACAUCUAUGCGAGUGUUUGGGUGUCAAGCCCGAGCGCGUAAUGAAAGUGAACGGAGGUGGGAACCCGCAAGGGUGCACCAUCGACCGAUCCUGAUGUCUUCGGAAGGAUUUGAGUAAGAGCAUGGCUGUUGGGACCCGAAAGAUGGUGAACUAUGCUUGAAUAGGGUGAAGCCAGAGGAAACUCUGGUGGAGGCUCGCAGCGGUUCUGACGUGCAAAUCGAUCGUCAAAUUUGGGCAUAGGGGCGAAAGACUAAUCGAACUAUCUAGUAGCUGGUUCCUGCCGAAGUUUCCCUCAGGAUAGCAGUAACGUAUUCAGUUUUAUGAGGUAAAGCGAAUGAUUAGAGGCCUGGGGGUUGAAACAACCUUCACCUAUUCUCAAACUUUAAAUAUGUAAGAAGUCCUUGUUACUUA
RNAcentral lists this ribosomal RNA (843 nucleotides) under Alternaria sp. RNAcentral's name for it is "eukaryotic LSU rRNA". It matches the Rfam family "Eukaryotic large subunit ribosomal RNA", at positions 228 to 1093 of the family's 3401-position model. Lineage: Eukaryota; Fungi; Ascomycota; Dothideomycetes; Pleosporales; Pleosporaceae. The record is from RNAcentral.